RNAcentral lists this ribosomal RNA (429 nucleotides) under uncultured Thermomonas sp. Its description in RNAcentral is "bacterial SSU rRNA". It matches the Rfam family "Bacterial small subunit ribosomal RNA", at positions 355 to 776 of the family's 1533-position model. Lineage: Bacteria; Pseudomonadati; Pseudomonadota; Gammaproteobacteria; Lysobacterales; Lysobacteraceae. The record is from RNAcentral.
UAGGGAAUAUUGGACAAUGGGCGCAAGCCUGAUCCAGCCAUGCCGCGUGAGUGAAGAAGGCCCUCGGGUUGUAAAGCUCUUUUGUCCGGAAAGAAAAGCGCCGGGUUAAUACCCUAGUGUCCUGACGGUACCGGAAGAAUAAGCACCGGCUAACUUCGUGCCAGCAGCCGCGGUAAUACGAAGGGUGCAAGCGUUACUCGGAAUUACUGGGCGUAAAGCGUGCGUAGGUGGUUUGUUAAGUCUGAUGUGAAAGCCCUGGGCUCAACCUGGGAAUUGCAUUGGAUACUGGCAGGCUAGAGUGCGGUAGAGGGUAGUGGAAUUCCCGGUGUAGCAGUGAAAUGCGUAGAGAUCGGGAGGAACAUCUGUGGCGAAGGCGACUACCUGGACCAGCACUGACACUGAGGCACGAAAGCGUGGGGAGCAAACAGG